CUACGGGAGGCUGCAGUGAGGAAUAUUGCACAAUGGGGGGAACCCUCAUGCAGCAACGCCGCGUGGAGGAUGACGCAUUUCGGUGUGUAAACUCCUUUUAUAUGUCAAGAAAAUGACGGUAGCAUAUGAAUAAGCACCGGCUAACUCCGUGCCAGCAGCCGCGGUAAUACGGAGGGGGCAAGCGUUACUCGGAAUCACUGGGCGUAAAGGACGCGUAGGCGGGUUGGAAAGUCAGGUGUGAAAUCCUACAGCUUAACUGUAGAACUGCACUUGAAACUUCUAAUCUAGAGUAUGGGAGGGGGAGAUGGAAUUAGUGGUGUAGGGGUAAAAUCCGUAGAUAUCACUAGGAAUACCUAAAGCGAAGGCGAUCUCCUGGAACAUUACUGACGCUAAGGCGUGAAAGCGUGGGGAGCAAACAGGAUUAGAUACCCUAGUAGUC
RNAcentral lists this ribosomal RNA (439 nucleotides) under uncultured bacterium. Its description in RNAcentral is "partial 16S ribosomal RNA". It matches the Rfam family "Bacterial small subunit ribosomal RNA", at positions 339 to 795 of the family's 1533-position model. The record is from RNAcentral.